UCUCCAUUCGGGUUGAGCAGAAGCCCAGCAAGCAGCGUUUCUCCUGCGAACCGCUUCCAACCGUUGAUGAGCAGGUAGAGAUUAGGUGGUAUAAGGUUAUGUGAUGGCUAAGAGUAGGGACAGAACCGAAGAUUUUAGGGAAGCUACCCGUGCGACAGCUCUCUCUUUUGGCUACGACGAGGCCAAAUUGGCUGCGCUCUUGGCAUCCUUCAUUUUGCGCAAACCCUUGGAGAAACCUCCAUUUGAAAAAGCUGCAAUUAAGACGCUUGAAAGUAUUUCAGAAUUGGAACACUUCAUCACUAAGCAUCGGAAAGAUUAUGUGGAUCUGCAUCGAAUCACUGAACAGGAGAGGGACAACAUUGAACAUGAAACAACAAAACAUAAUUGAGCGAAUACUGGAGGAUGUUCAAAAUGAGCAACACCAACAACAUAGAGUGCAACAAGUGCUCCCCAAGAAGGCUCAACAAUCGAAAUCGCCUGCAAGAAAACCAAGGACUGUUCCCAACUAUGCCCACAUUUCAGCAAUCAAAAUCCAAGCAGCAUAUAGAGGUUACAGGGUACUUGAUCCAACCAUGAGGCCGAGUAUAAAAGAGCUUUAAAAGGCUUCAAAUCGAGUGUUUCUAAACAUGUAACCAUUAUCGGUUGGCUAUCAAAUGGCUGUUCUUG
This is an RNA transcript of Zingiber officinale, 666 nucleotides long. It is a transcript of the gene named syntaxin-81-like, with no coding region annotated. NCBI's taxonomy places the organism in Eukaryota, Viridiplantae, Streptophyta, Magnoliopsida, Zingiberales, Zingiberaceae. The transcript has 5 exons. The record is from RefSeq and is a predicted model, not a curated record.